This 468-nucleotide ribosomal RNA is filed under the name uncultured bacterium. RNAcentral's name for it is "partial 16S ribosomal RNA". It matches the Rfam family "Bacterial small subunit ribosomal RNA", at positions 28 to 507 of the family's 1533-position model. The record is from RNAcentral.
GACGAACGCUGGCGGCGUGCUUAACACAUGCAAGUCGAACGGAAAGGCCCUGCUCUUGUGGGGUGCUCGAGUGGCGAACGGGUGAGUAACACGUGAGUAACCUGCACUUGACUUUGGGAUAACUUCAGGAAACUGGGGCUAAUACCGGAUAGGAUCUCCUGCUGCAUGGGGGGGGUUGGAAAGUUUCGGCGGUUGGGGAUGGACUCGCGGCUUAUCAGCUUGUUGGUGGGGUAGUGGCGUACCAAGGCUUCGACGGGUAGCCGGCCUGGGAGGGUGACCGGGCACAUUGGGACUGAGAGACGGCCCAGACUCGUACGGGAGGCAGCAGUCGGGAAUAUUGCACAAUGGGCGGGAGCCUGAUGCAGCAGCGCCGCGUGCGGGAUGACGGCCUUCGGGUUGUGAACCGCUUUCGCCUGUGACGAAGCGUGAGUGACGGUAAUGAGUAAAGAAGCACCGGCUAACUACGUG